GACGAACGCUGGCGGCGUGCCUAAUACAUGCAAGUAGAACGCUGAAGGAGGAGCUUGCUCUUCUGGAUGAGUUGCGAACGGGUGAGUAACGCGUAGGUAACCUGCCUGGUAGCGGGGGAUAACUAUUGGAAACGAUAGCUAAUACCGCAUAACAGUAGAUGUUGCAUGACAUUUGCUUAAAAGGUGCAAUUGCACCACUACCAGAUGGACCUGCGUUGUAUUAGCUAGUUGGUGGGGUAACGGCUCACCAAGGCGACGAUACAUAGCCGACCUGAGAGGGUGAUCGGCCACACUGGGACUGAGACACGGCCCAGACUCCUACGGGAGGCAGCAGUAGGGAAUCUUCGGCAAUAGACGGAAGUCUGACCGAGCAACGCCGCGUGAGUGAAGAAGGUUGUCGGAUCGUAAAGCUCUGUUGUAAGAGAAGAACGAGUGUGAGAGUGGAAAGUUCACACUGUGACGGUAUCUUACCAGAAAGGGACGGCUAACUACGUG
RNAcentral lists this ribosomal RNA (495 nucleotides) under uncultured bacterium. RNAcentral's name for it is "partial 16S ribosomal RNA". It matches the Rfam family "Bacterial small subunit ribosomal RNA", at positions 28 to 507 of the family's 1533-position model. The record is from RNAcentral.